This 497-nucleotide ribosomal RNA is filed under the name uncultured bacterium. Its description in RNAcentral is "partial 16S ribosomal RNA". It matches the Rfam family "Bacterial small subunit ribosomal RNA", at positions 28 to 507 of the family's 1533-position model. The record is from RNAcentral.
GAUGAACGCUGGCGGCGUGCCUAAUACAUGCAAGUCGAGCGAACAGACGAGGAGCUUGCUCCUCUGACGUUAGCGGCGGACGGGUGAGUAACACGUGGAUAACCUACCUAUAAGACUGGGAUAACUUCGGGAAACCGGAGCUAAUACCGGAUAAUAUAUUGAACGGCAUGGUUCAAUAGUGAAAGACGGUUUUGCUGUCACUUAUAGAUGGAUCCGCGCCGCAUUAGCUAGUUGGUAAGGUAACGGCUUACCAAGGCAACGAUGCGUAGCCGACCUGAGAGGAUGAUCGGCCACACUGGAACUGAGACACGGUCCAGACUCCUACGGGAGGCAGCAGUAGGGAAUCUUCCGCAAUGGGCGAAAGCCUGACGGAGCAACGCCGCGUGAGUGAUGAAGGUCUUCGGAUCGUAAAACUCUGUUAUUAGGGAAGAACAAAUGUGUAAGUAACUAUGCACGUCUUGACGGUACCUAAUCAGAAAGCCACGGCUAACUACGUG